UUUUUUGUUCAGGAAUAACUUUAGGAAAAUAUUCAACUAUCUUUGGAGAGAUGGGCCUAUGUUCCAUGCCGAUAGAGGCAAUUUCUGUCAUCUGUUUCGUGUCUGACUGUGGACAAUUAAACCUGCUUUUUGGAGGAUAACAUUUACAUUUUUCUUAAAGGAUUUUACUCAUAACAUGAAAGUUGUAUGGGGAUUGCGAAAGGGAACCCUGGUCGUGGGCUCUAGAACACAACAAGUAUCCCCUCGUGUUCCAACUGUGCGCUUUGGAGAGUGCCCAACCUGUGCCAGGAUGACGCGCACGUGGUGUGGUUUACUGGAGCUAUGAUCGAUAGGUUUACAUGAUGGGUAAAUUUGUGAGGAUUUUUUUUUUUUUUACUGUAGUUAACUCUUUCCCUUACCCUAAAUACUUAUGAGCUAUAAAGAGACCAGGCCAAUUUCUCUCUCACCUGAACGCUGAACUGUGAGAGCAAGACGGUUCACUUGAGGACAACAAGGCCACCCAGCUCUACCUGCUCUGCUGCCACCUGCACAGACAGCUCCACCUGGAGGCUGGAGGACCACAGUACAGCCCCGUCCUCGCUCGCUUCCCCAUCCUGGUCAGGCAGGUGGCUGCUGCUGGACACUUCAGGUGAAUGUCUUCGUGAUGUCAUUUUGGAUGAGGGAGCCGAUUAUCAAAUCUGGAUUUUCUUUGAAAUUGAAGAGCAGGGCGAGGAGCACCACAAUCAAUUUAGGAGCACCAGAAAAUAUGUUUUAAAUGUAUUCAGAUACAGCCUAUAUUGGUCCUAUAUGAAUUAUAUGUAUUUCUGAAGCCCAUGUUAAGUCCUAGACACUAACAUGUAACACUGUAAAGACAGUUUAUUAUCAAAGAUAAAAUGUUGAUACCAAUACCUGUCAUUAAAAUUAGUCAUUUUUUGAAUAUUACGUUUCUACAUUGUGUAAAAGCACUAUUUUCCUAUUGAGAUGCAUUACAUUGAAAAUGGUCCACUGUCUCUUUAAAAACGUCAGGUGUGUGAUGAUGACAAGCCAGAGAUCUGUCAUUCAUUCAUUGCUGCUUUGAUCAUUGAUCUCCUGAAGAAGCUGUCCCUCUCUUUCUGUGCCCCAAAUGUUUGCAGACACUGGUAAAGUUACCAGGUUGUUAACUAGCUAGCCAAUGAGGUAACAUGACUGAACAAAGUGUAAACAAAUGGUUAAUGAUGAUGUUUUAUACUGAACAAAAAUAUAAACACAACAUGUGUAGCUCAUUUAGUCCCUGCUAAAUCACAAAGAUACCAGGUAGCUCAUUUAGUCAACCAGUCCCAACCCCAUAACAACCAGUCCCAACCCCA
RNAcentral lists this long non-coding RNA (1325 nucleotides) under Salmo trutta (river trout). RNAcentral's name for it is "lncRNA (ENSSTUG00000029002.1)". Lineage: Eukaryota; Metazoa; Chordata; Actinopteri; Salmoniformes; Salmonidae. The record is from RNAcentral.